GAAAUGUUGCUGCUGCUGGUUGUAGUAGCUGUGGUUCUGGCAACAAUGCUGAUGUGGUUGCACUUUGUGGGUGGCAGCUGACAUUGGAUGCAUUAGAUGCUCUGCGAUCACUAGGGCAAAUUCCAAUUCAAACAGUACAAUCUGAGUCAGCAGCGUCAUUGUACAAGGAUGAUCGUCAAACUCCUGGUCAACAGCUCCUUGGACAGCAUUCUAUGAACAGAAGCCAUGUGCAGCAUUGAUAUUUAAUCAGAAUAGUAAAGCUGGACUCUUGAGGUGAAGUC
Molecule: unclassified non-coding RNA, 281 nt
Filed under: Hevea brasiliensis (rubber tree)
Lineage: Eukaryota; Viridiplantae; Streptophyta; Magnoliopsida; Malpighiales; Euphorbiaceae
Source: RNAcentral